RNAcentral lists this long non-coding RNA (215 nucleotides) under Lathyrus oleraceus (garden pea). Its description in RNAcentral is "Pisum sativum (pea) long non-coding RNA (PSAT_LNC037358)". The record is from RNAcentral. Lineage: Eukaryota; Viridiplantae; Streptophyta; Magnoliopsida; Fabales; Fabaceae.
AAAGACGCAACCCCGAAUUUGCUCCCGAGGCAACCUGGAAGGUGAUACAGUUGAGAAACAAAAUGUUGGACGCAACUUGGAAACUCUAGACCGAAAGAGGAGAAGGUAAGCCCAAGCUGAAAAAGAAGCUGUCUGUCAUAAAGAGUGGUUUGGAGCCUGCAAGCUUAUCCAACAUGGUGAGAUUUCAACUUAACCAAACACAAAAGAGCGCAUUC